CCGGUACCAUCGCUUCCCAAGGGUAUUAACCUUGAGCAAUUUUUCCCGAAUGACAGGAGUUUACAACCCUAGGGCCGUCAUCCUCCACGCAGCGUCGCAUCGUCACGCUUUCGCGCAUUGCGAA
RNAcentral lists this ribosomal RNA (124 nucleotides) under uncultured bacterium. RNAcentral describes it as "partial 16S ribosomal RNA". The record is from RNAcentral.